UACGUAGGGAGCAAGCGUUGUCCGGAUUUACUGGGCGUAAAGAGCGUGUAGGCGGCCAAACAGGUCCGUUGUGAAAACUGGAGGCUCAACCUCCAGACGUCGACGGAAACCGUAUGGCUAGAGUCCGGAAGAGGAGAGUGGAAUUCCUGGUGUAGCGGUGAAAUGCGCAGAUAUCAGGAAGAACACCUAUGGCGAAGGCAGCUCUCUGGGAUGGUACUGACGCUGAGACGCGAAAGCGUGGGGAGCGAACAGG
This 253-nucleotide ribosomal RNA is filed under the name uncultured bacterium. Its description in RNAcentral is "partial 16S ribosomal RNA". It matches the Rfam family "Bacterial small subunit ribosomal RNA", at positions 524 to 776 of the family's 1533-position model. The record is from RNAcentral.